RNAcentral lists this ribosomal RNA (436 nucleotides) under uncultured soil bacterium. RNAcentral's name for it is "bacterial SSU rRNA". It matches the Rfam family "Bacterial small subunit ribosomal RNA", at positions 26 to 473 of the family's 1533-position model. The record is from RNAcentral.
AGAUUGAACGCUGGCGGCAGGCCUAACACAUGCAAGUCGAGCGGCAGCACGGGUACUUGUACCUGGUGGCGAGCGGCGGACGGGUGAGUAAUGCCUAGGAAUCUGCCUGAUAGUGGGGGAUAACGUUCGGAAACGGACGCUAAUACCGCAUACGUCCUACGGGAGAAAGUGGGGGAUCUUCGGACCUCACGCUAUCAGAUGAGCCUAGGUCGAUUAGCUAGUUGAGGGUAAAGCCUACAAGGCAACGAUCCUUAGCUGGUCUGAGAGGAUGAUCAGCCACACUGGGACUGAGACACGGCCCAGACUCCUACGGGAGCAGCAGUAGGGAAUAGUGGACAAUGGGCAAAGCCUGAUCCAGCAAUGCCGCGUGAGUGAUGAAGCCGUUAGGUUGUAAAGCUACUUUACCCGAGUAUGAUAAUGACAGUAGUACGGAGAA